CCUACGGGAGGCAGCAGUAAGGAAUAUUGGUCAAUGGAGGCAACUCUGAACCAGCCAUGCCGCGUGCAGGAAGACUGCCCUAUGGGUUGUAAACUGCUUUUAUCCGGGAAUAAACCUGCUUACGUGUAAGUAGCUGAAUGUACCGGAAGAAUAAGGAUCGGCUAACUCCGUGCCAGCAGCCGCGGUAAUACGGAGGAUCCAAGCGUUAUCCGGAUUUAUUGGGUUUAAAGGGUGCGUAGGCGGCCUGUUAAGUCAGGGGUGAAAGACGGUAGCUCAACUAUCGCAGUGCCCUUGAUACUGAUGGGCUUGAAUGGACUAGAGGUAGGCGGAAUGAGACAAGUAGCGGUGAAAUGCAUAGAUAUGUCUCAGAACACCGAUUGCGAAGGCAGCUUACUAUGGUCUUAUUGACGCUGAGGCACGAAAGCGUGGGGAUCAAACAGGAUUAGAUACCCUGGUAGUCCACGCCCUAAACGAUGAACACUCGCUGUUGGCGAUACACAGUCAGCGGCGUAAGACGAAGACGUUAAGUUAGUUCCUACCGUCGGGAGGUACGGCCCGGCCGACGGGUAGGAACGUACGAAAGUAGUAGUUAGUACGGACGUAGAGACGUUGCCGACGGACGACGACGAGGGAGGAGG
RNAcentral lists this ribosomal RNA (638 nucleotides) under uncultured bacterium. RNAcentral's name for it is "bacterial SSU rRNA". The stretch from base 1 to 540 matches the Rfam family "Bacterial small subunit ribosomal RNA", at positions 338 to 873 of the family's 1533-position model. The record is from RNAcentral.